GACGAACGCUGGCGGCGUGCUUAACACAUGCAAGUCGAACGGAAAGGCCUCUUUCGGGGGGUACUCGAGUGGCGAACGGGUGAGUAACACGUGAGUAACCUGCCCUUGACUUUGGGAUAACUUCAGGAAACUGGGGCUAAUACCGGAUAGGAGCUCCUGCUGCAUGGUGGGGGUUGGAAAGUUUCGGCGGUUGGGGAUGGACUCGCGGCUUAUCAGCUUGUUGGUGGGGUAGUGGCUUACCAAGGCUUUGACGGGUAGCCGGCCUGAGAGGGUGACCGGCCACAUUGGGACUGAGAUACGGCCCAGACGCCUACGGGAGGCAGCAGUGGGGAAGAUUGCACAAUGGGUGGAAGCCUGAUGCAGCAACGCCGGGUGCGGGAUGACGGCCUUCGGGUUGUAAACCGCUUUCGCUCAUGACGAAGCUUUGUGUGACGGUAGUGGGUAAAGAAGCACCGGCUAACUACGUG
Molecule: ribosomal RNA, 467 nt
Filed under: uncultured bacterium
Lineage: Bacteria
Description: partial 16S ribosomal RNA
Rfam family: Bacterial small subunit ribosomal RNA
Source: RNAcentral